Molecule: non-coding RNA, 28 nt
Filed under: Mus musculus (house mouse)
Lineage: Eukaryota; Metazoa; Chordata; Mammalia; Rodentia; Muridae
Source: RNAcentral
UGUUUACCUGGUGUCACUGGGUAGGCCA